This 80-nucleotide transfer RNA is filed under the name Friedmanniomyces endolithicus. RNAcentral's name for it is "tRNA-Arg". It matches the Rfam family "tRNA". Rfam says of the family: Transfer RNA (tRNA) molecules are approximately 80 nucleotides in length. Their secondary structure includes four short double-helical elements and three loops (D, anti-codon, and T loops). Lineage: Eukaryota; Fungi; Ascomycota; Dothideomycetes; Mycosphaerellales; Teratosphaeriaceae. The record is from RNAcentral.
GGGCGGUUGGCGCAAUGGUAGCGCGUUGGUUUUCGGCAGAUGUACACCAAAGGCUGUGGGUUCGAGCCCCAUGCUGCUCG